This 443-nucleotide long non-coding RNA is filed under the name Takifugu rubripes (torafugu). Its description in RNAcentral is "lncRNA (ENSTRUG00000032459.1)". The record is from RNAcentral. Lineage: Eukaryota; Metazoa; Chordata; Actinopteri; Tetraodontiformes; Tetraodontidae.
CUUUAAGCUCAUUGCCAAAAUUGGGCCCCUGAAGAAGACCCCUGCAGUUUAAUUCAGAGGGAUUAUGAGAUGAUGAACAAGAGCGGCAAGCUGGCGGACGGGCUGACCAAUCACGAGCUUCAGAGGCAGACGCACAAACGAAAGCCGCAGCUCCGGCCAAUCCAAGUGACCGUUGUGUCUGUGGCAGAGUUACAACAUCAGCCAUAAUGUGAAGUGGGACCAUGGCUGGCCUGCUAUUCCCAGCCUGGGCAGCCCCCUGUCAGCCUCCUGACAGUUCCAGUGUUAGCAACAGGCAGUGGUAUCCUGGUACAGCUGUCAGACCACUCCACAGAUGGCAUCUAGGGGAUGGUCCUGUAGAACACGCAACUACUCAAACUCCGGCUGACUUAUUGUGUUCAAACUACCCAACAAAAUCAAAAACAUACAGCUGCCACAGUGCAUAA